This 3449-nucleotide long non-coding RNA is filed under the name Nicotiana tabacum (common tobacco). RNAcentral's name for it is "long non-coding RNA (NTAB_LNC011044)". The record is from RNAcentral. Lineage: Eukaryota; Viridiplantae; Streptophyta; Magnoliopsida; Solanales; Solanaceae.
AAGAGACCCCAUCAGAAGCUUCUUCUUCUUCUUAACCCUUCAGCCAUGGCUUCUCUACUUCAGACCUUGAACACCUCAAGAACCCUAGAGAAGAAGAUCUCCCAGCCGUCACCCUCACCAAGAGACCCCUCACUGCCGUUCUUAUUCUUCAACCGCCCAUCGGCUGCUCGCCGACCACAUGCACGCACACAGCCAAACGACCACCCACAUCUCCUCCACCCUAAAGCAGCACAAACACACACACACACACACACACAUACUCAUUCUAGCGAAAAUCCCUGAUCUCUCACACAGAAGAGAACCAACAGCCGCCGCUACAGUCGCCCACCCUUAUCUCCGCCAAAACCCAUCCACCCAUCAAUGUCGCCUGCCCUACCCGCUCUAACCUCUCCCGCCGCCUCCCAUAUCUUGCCCACUGCUACUUCAACUCAAGCCACUGGCAUAAAACACGCACAUACAGUCACAGAUAGAAAAAAAUUACGAGACAGACGAAGAGUUCCCUUUCCCUUAUUUUCAUUUUUCAUUGAAAUUCCAUAAGAGAAUUAUACAUUAAAAAUGUUUCUAUUUUGUGAAUUAAGGCUUCUUGGGCAAGGACAGAAAAGAGACAUAUACGUACAUAGACAACUUUCAUUUUUCUUUGGUUUUAAAUUUCUAAAACAUGGAAUCUAGUUAAGUUUGGAGCCGUUUUGAGUUCGAGCCGUUUGACAUUGUUCGUGGGGGUUUCGAGUUCCCGAUUCCAGCCCUGUUCCAUAGUUUUGUUCGAGUAUUUGUGAAGCUCGAUUUCAUUUUGAGGUUCAAUCUUAAACUCUACUUCUUCUAUUUAUUCUCUUAUGUGAAUAUUCUGUGCUGGUUUGUUAUUGCAUUUUAGUUGUUAUCAUGUGGUGAUUUGCAGUGUCAAUUUCAAAUUUGUUUGAGUUGGUUCUUUGUUUUUUUAAUUAUAAGAAAAUAGUUGAACUCACAUUAUAGGAAUACAAACAUGUGCUGAAGAACAAAUGUACUUAACAGUCAAACGUAUUGGAUUGUUUUGCUUAAAUGGGUAUGUGGGUUUUGGACUAAAAUUAAAAAGAGUUUAGACUCAAUACAAUUUCAUUACUCCUGUGUUUUUGGGUUGGAUCGUUAGGAGCAUGUUUUAGGUCGUCAUCACCUCGGUAGGCAAACUUUAGGAUGUUUGUUAGCUUUGAGGCGAAAGAUUGUUCCCUUAGCUAAAUUUAUCCGGGGAAUGCCCCGAAGGAUCUGUACAUAGUUUAUUCUGGGGAAUGCCCUGUAGUAUUUUGUAAUUGGAGGCCGCGGCGAACAUCGUAGAAUAAGUAGCGUAGGAUAAUUUAGAACUUUAAUUUUAAUUUUCCUUCAUUUAGGUGGGGACGAUCUCGAGCCUCUUUUAUGUUUAUUUUCUUUUUCUGUGAUUUUACCUCAAUUUGAACGUUUUAAAAUCCAACUUGAUCAUGUAUGCAACCGUACUAGUUACCGUAAUAACUUCGUAUAGCAUACAUUAUACGAAGUUAUACGNNNNNNNNNNNNNNNNNNNNNNNNNCUUCUCCCCCGACGUCAAAAUGUAAACCCCCCUUACCCCGAAAUCUCUGAUGCAGAUUAUGUUUAGAGUCAAAAAAUGUGUUUUGAAAGGAAAAAUUGCUUUGGAACAGUGACCUGGCACACUGAAACCCCCAAUGCUAGGUGGCGACUUUGGAAAAAUCCUUUUUAACACAAUCUUUUGUCAUUGUUCAUAAUUGAAACCCUUUUGAGCUUUACAAAUCUUUUUAUUAUCUUAAGAGGGUCAAUGAAGUGUAAAAAAAUGGGUGUGACAGCUUUGGCGACUCUACUGGGGAGUUGCAGGUUCGAGCUAAUACUUGAUCUUGUUGGUUUUUAGGAUAUUCGGUUGAGGUUUUUAUGUGUUUUGUUUGCUUUAUUUGAUUUUUAUUUUGUUUAUGUCGUUUUAUUAUUUGCUAGUUGCUUAUUUGUUUACAGUUUUUCCUUUAUGUGUUACUGCUUUAUAAACUGUCAUCAUUUGCAUAACCCUAGGUCUUUUUUUCUACAACAAGUCUCGGAGUACGCAUCGCGUACACGAACUCUUUGUUGAGUCACCCUUAUUUUGGGGGGGGGGGGGCGUCGGAUGUAUGGAGUGGAUGGAAAGAUAGAGCAUCCACCAUCGACCAUACGCUCUCCCGAAUUGCCUUGUUAGUGAACCUCAAACUUAGGUCAGCCUUUAGGUCAUUCUUAUUUGCAUCAUGUUCUUUAAACCUAGCAUGACUCGGUCCCAAGCAGUGUGUCCCGUCGUAGGAGGCCUAUCCAAAUUAUGUCAAAAUUGGCUCGUGGCCCAAAAUGACAUUCAAUCAUCCUAUAUGCUAAAUGUUGCAUCUACGAGGGUAGAAAGGUCAUUUGGAAGACCGAUGUUUUGGAAAGAAGGGUGAAAAAUGAAGCAAAUAGGGACCAAUUAUAUUUUUCUUUCACAACUUUUUCAAGAAAAGACCAAAAAAAAAUUGAAAAAUGAAAAAUCCAAAAACAUUUUGCACUUUCCCAGUUUUUUUCGAAAAAAAACCCAAAAAGAUUUUACAUUUUCCAUCAUUUUUCAAAAAGACAAAAAAUAUAGUUUUUCCAAAUUAGUUGUAUUUUUUCUAAGAAAAGCUUUCUCCAUGUUCAAUCUUCCCGAACUACGCAUACCUGAUACUCGUCUUUCGAGCCGGGAUACGUAGGCAGCCCACAUAGGGUCCAGUAUUCCUAGUAAGUCUUAGGUUUUUGGCUUCAUGGGGUCUUAGCCAAAUCUUGCAUGUCUAGCCACUUUUGGCCACAUCGGCCAUUCUUGCAAAAUGUGGUCAUUUUUGCAAAAGUGGUUCAAUGACCCAUGUAUUUGGAUCUUGAGUCCACAACUAGGUGUCAUAUUUAUUUAAGGUCCUUCCUUUUUGAGUUUGCAUCUUUAGCCACUUUUGGUCAUAUCAGCCUUUUUGCAAAAUGGGUCAUUUCGGCAAAUUAAUUUUGGGCCAUAAUUAUUGGGAGUUUUGAAUCCAUAUAAGCCUUAGUGAGGUAUCUCCAUAUCUGAGUAGUCACUUUUGUUGAGUUUUCACUUCUAGCCACUUUUGGCCAUAUAGGUCAUUUUGUAAAAAUAGCCCAAUCAUAUCUUGUAUGUGUCUAGUGUGAGGUGUUGUGGCGUAGCAUAGUGUCUAAAGUCACUAGCUCUAUUUGGUCUUAUUUUUCUCAUUCAUGUGUGGCUUUAUUUUCCAGAGCACGAGCAUGAUAAAUACACCAGGACCAUCAUAUUUGGGAGCUUGUUUGAAGAAACCUUUUAUAUUUUGAGUCUAUUUUUGAUGUUUUUUUACUUUCUAGCCCUGUCUAGUAGUGUUCAGUCUUUUAGUUGGUGUCAGAGUUUAUCGUAGUAUAGUUGAGUUUUUUCGAGUCUUUCAUUAUUGUACUUCCUAUUUUGUAUUUGAAUAACCAAACAAAAUUAUUAUAAAUGAAAA